UUUACCUGCAAAUCAUAGUUUAACUGUGGAAGAUAUUAAAAAGGACACACAAAAUAUUCUCAGCAAUGUGGAACAAUACAAGGAAAUUGUGGAAAUGAAUAAACAGGUAAAGGACAAAAUCAAGUGGAUUCUUAAAGAAUCUGGUGGCGAAAAGCAAGUUUCCGAAAUACUUAGAAUGCUGACACGGGACGUAAGAG
Long non-coding RNA from Mytilus californianus (California mussel), 197 nucleotides. RefSeq lists it as uncharacterized. The transcript is spliced from 3 exons. The record is from RefSeq and is a predicted model, not a curated record. Lineage: Eukaryota; Metazoa; Mollusca; Bivalvia; Mytilida; Mytilidae.